UACAGAGGGUGCGAGCGUUGUUCGGAAUUAUUGGGCGUAAAGGGCGCGUAGGCGGUGCGGUAAGUCACCUGUGAAAUCUCCUGGCUCAACUGGGAGCUUGCAGGCGAAACUGCCGUGCUGGAGUGUGGGAGAGGUGAGUGGAAUUCCCGGUGUAGCGGUGAAAUGCGUAGAUAUCAGGAGGAACACCUGUGGCGAAAGCGGCGCACUGGACCACAACUGACGCUGAGGCGCGAAAGCAUGGGGAGCGAACAGG
RNAcentral lists this ribosomal RNA (253 nucleotides) under uncultured bacterium. Its description in RNAcentral is "partial 16S ribosomal RNA". It matches the Rfam family "Bacterial small subunit ribosomal RNA", at positions 524 to 776 of the family's 1533-position model. The record is from RNAcentral.